GACAGAGGUCCCGAGCGUUAGGCGGAAUCACUGGGCUUAAAGCGUGUGUAGGCGGAUGCCUAAGUACCUUGUGAAAUCCCACGGCUCACCCGUGGAACUGCUUGGUAUACUGGGUGUCUUGAGCCACUUAGGGGCUACCGGAACAAAUGGUGGAGCGGUGAAAUGCUUAGAUAUGACAUAGAACACCAAUUGCGAAGGCAGCUCGCUACGCAUAUAUUGACUCUGAGGCACGAAAGCGUGGGGAUCAAACAGG
This 253-nucleotide ribosomal RNA is filed under the name uncultured prokaryote. RNAcentral describes it as "partial 16S ribosomal RNA". It matches the Rfam family "Bacterial small subunit ribosomal RNA", at positions 524 to 776 of the family's 1533-position model. The record is from RNAcentral.